Molecule: ribosomal RNA, 207 nt
Filed under: uncultured bacterium
Lineage: Bacteria
Description: partial 16S ribosomal RNA
Rfam family: Bacterial small subunit ribosomal RNA
Source: RNAcentral
UUCGUAGGCGGUUCGUCGCGUCCGGUGUGAAAGUCCAUCGCUUAACGGUGGAUCCGCGCCGGGUACGGGCGGGCUUGAGUGCGGUAGGGGAGACUGGAAUUCCCGGUGUAACGGUGGAAUGUGUAGAUAUCGGGAAGAACACCAAUGGCGAAGGCAGGUCUCUGGGCCGUUACUGACGCUGAGGAGCGAAAGCGUGGGGAGCGAACA